This 421-nucleotide ribosomal RNA is filed under the name uncultured bacterium. Its description in RNAcentral is "bacterial SSU rRNA". It matches the Rfam family "Bacterial small subunit ribosomal RNA", at positions 356 to 774 of the family's 1533-position model. The record is from RNAcentral.
AAGGAAUAUUGGACAAUGGAGGCAACUCUGAUCCAGCCAUGCCGCGUGAAGGAAUAAGGCCCUAUGGGUUGUAAACUUCUUUUAGACGGGACAAAACCCCUUUACGUGUAAAGGGUUGAUGGUACUGUCAGAAUAAGCAUCGGCUAACUUCGUGCCAGCAGCCGCGGUAAUACGAAGGAUGCAAGCGUUAUCCGGAAUUAUUGGGUUUAAAGGUUGCGUAGGCGGACUAAUAAGUCAGUGGUGAAAGCCUGCAGCUUAACUGCAGAAUUGCCAUUGAUACUGUUAGUCUUGAGUACAGUUGAGGUAGGCGGAAUGUGUCAUGUAGCGGUGAAAUGCUUAGAUAUGACACAGAACACCGAUUGCGAAGGCAGCUUGCUAAGCUGUAACUGACGCUGAGGCACGAAAGCGUGGGGAGCAAACA